AGAGUUUGAUCAUGGCUCAGAUUGAACGCUGGCGGCAUGCCUUACACAUGCAAGUCGAACGGCAGCACAGGUGCUUGCACCGGGUGGCGAGUGGCGAACGGGUGAGUAACACAUCGGAACGUGUCCUGGAGUGGGGGAUAGGCCGGCGAAAGCCGGGUUAAUACCGCAUACGAUCUGAGGAUGAAAGCGGGGGACCUUCGGGCCUCGCGCUCAAGGAGCGGCCGAUGGCGGAUUAGCUAGUUGGUGGGGUAAAGGCCCACCAAGGCGACGAUCCGUAGCUGGUCUGAGAGGACGACCAGCCACACUGGGACUGAGACACGGCCCAGACUCCUACGGGAGGCAGCAGUGGGGAAUUUUGGACAAUGGGGGCAACCCUGAUCCAGCAAUGCCGCGUGUGUGAAGAAGGCCUUCGGGUUGUAAAGCACUUUUGUCCGGAAAGAAAACUUCGUCCCUAAUAUGGAUGGAGGAUGACGGUACCGGAAGAAUAAGCACCGGCUAACUACGUGCCAGCAGCCGCGGUAAUACGUAGGGUGCGAGCGUUAAUCGGAAUUACUGGGCGUAAAGCGUGCGCAGGCGGCGAUGUAAGACCGAUGUGAAAUCCCCGGGCUUAACCUGGGAACUGCAUUGGUGACUGCAUCGCUGGAGUAUGGCAGAGGGGGGUGGAAUUCCACGUGUAGCAGUGAAAUGCGUAGAGAUGUGGAGGAACACCGAUGGCGAAGGCAGCCCCCUGGGCCAAUACUGACGCUCAUGCACGAAAGCGUGGGGAGCAAACAGGAUUAGAUACCCUAGUAGUCC
RNAcentral lists this ribosomal RNA (795 nucleotides) under uncultured bacterium. RNAcentral's name for it is "bacterial SSU rRNA". It matches the Rfam family "Bacterial small subunit ribosomal RNA", at positions 8 to 796 of the family's 1533-position model. The record is from RNAcentral.